GGAGAUGCAUAGAAUCAUCACAAGCUUAGCUCCUUCUUGUCUCGGUUCUAAGCUUGAGGGGGAGUCUUAAUGCAUAUGAUCCAUGGUCAGUAACAAGUCUUUUGCAAAAGCUUCUACAAGGAUCAUCAACCGAGCCAAGUCAGUGGCGUGUCUAGGCAAGAGGCUGUUCAGAGCAGCCUUGGCAAGUGAGGAAGAAGGCUCUCCAUCAAUGCGGCUUCAAUGAGAGGUGAUUGAGGAGAAGCUGAUCAAUCCAUUCUGCCUUUCCAAGAAGUUGAUGAUGCCAUGAAGAUGGUGCAUUGAGAGAGUUAGGAAACUCACAAAAACACAAGGGAAGUUCCCUUAGACUUUUAAAACUCUUUUCAAUCCUUUUCAUUCAUCUUAUUCAUUGCUUGUACUUGAAAAGAUAUUUAAGAUGAUUAUGAUUGAAUUGUGAGAUUGUGUGCAUCAAGUGUGAUGCAGGAUAUUCAUUUUCUUGGUUUUGAUAGGUACUGAUGCACCUUUGGGAUAAUGUAUCAGGUACCAUUGCUUGAGCCUCACUAAAGAUGUUCCUGGUCAGUUCCUAGCUUCUCUAAGGUGGCUGAGAAGUCUGUCGAGAAGGGGAGACCCAAACCAGUUCGAUGAAGAGGGCAAGCCGUGUGUGAAGUGUUGAUCAGCCUUACUGGUGUUUUGAAGAUGAUCUGGUCGUGUCCUAGCUUCUCUAAAAUGGCUGUGAAGUCAGUUGAGAGGGGGAGACUUCAAACCGGUUCCAUGAAGAGGUGAAGCUGAAGUGUGAAGUGUGCGCAAAGCUGUGUUGAGUUGCUGCACCUAUUAGGCCAUGAUCCAGAGCUUCUUGUGUCCAACCACACUGGUUCUAAGGCACAAGAGCUCACUGGCCAAUCCCUAGGCCCUUAAGAGCUCUACUCUUUUUCCCUUGCAAAGUUUUGUCCCACAGGGUUUUCUUUGCAAGGUUUUUAGUGAGGGAGACUCUUCAGGGUUCCAAGCUUGGCUCAGGAUCUCCUAGAGUCAAGCUUAAGGGGGAGUGUUGAACUGAAGAGAAGAUAGAAGCUUGUGCAAAGAUAGGGCAAGCUUCAGGAGAUGUUCAGAAG
RNAcentral lists this long non-coding RNA (1085 nucleotides) under Brassica napus (rape). Its description in RNAcentral is "long non-coding RNA (BNAP_LNC021186)". Lineage: Eukaryota; Viridiplantae; Streptophyta; Magnoliopsida; Brassicales; Brassicaceae. The record is from RNAcentral.